AACGGGUGAGUAACGCGUGAGGAACCUGCCUCAAANAGGGGGACAACAGUUGGAAACGACUGCUAAUACCGCAUAAGCCCACGGGUCGGCAUCGACCAGAGGGAAAAGGAGCAAUCCGCUUUGAGAUGGCCUCGCGUCCGAUUAGCUAGUUGGUGAGGUAAUGGCCCACCAAGGCAAUGAUCGGUAGCCGGACUGAGAGGUUGAACGGCCACAUUGGGACUGAGACACGGCCCAGACUCCUACGGGAGGCAGCAUG
Molecule: ribosomal RNA, 256 nt
Filed under: uncultured bacterium
Lineage: Bacteria
Description: partial 16S ribosomal RNA
Rfam family: Bacterial small subunit ribosomal RNA
Source: RNAcentral